ACGGGUGAGUAACACGUGAGCAAUCUGCCCUUCACUUUGGGAUAACUUCCGGAAACGGAAGCUAAUACCGAAUACGACCACUUCAGGCAUCUGAUGGUGGUGGAAAGUUCCGGCGGUGAAGGAUGAGCUCGCGGCCUAUCAGCUUGUUGGUGAGGUAACGGCUCACCAAGGCUUCGACGGGUAGCCGGCCUGAGAGGGUGACCGGCCACACUGGGACUGAGACACGGCCCAGACUCCUACGGGAGGCAGCAGUGGGGAAUAUUGGACAAUGGGCGAAAGCCUGAUCCAGCAACGCCGCGUGAGGGAUGACUGCCUUCGGGUUGUAAACCUCUUUCAGCGGGGACGAAGCGAAAGUGACGGUACCCGCAGAAGAAGCACCGGCCAACUACGUGCCAGCAGCCGCGGUAAUACGUAGGGUGCGAGCGUUGUCCGGAAUUAUUGGGCGUAAAGGGCUCGUAGGCGGUUUGUCACGUCGGGAGUGAAAACUCAGGGCUCAACCCUGAGCCUGCUUCCGAUACGGGCAGACUAGAGGUAUGCAGGGGAGAACGGAAUUCCUGGUGUAGCGGUGAAAUGCGCAGA
This 579-nucleotide ribosomal RNA is filed under the name Nocardioidaceae bacterium BvIRR158. RNAcentral describes it as "bacterial SSU rRNA". It matches the Rfam family "Bacterial small subunit ribosomal RNA", at positions 102 to 694 of the family's 1533-position model. Lineage: Bacteria; Bacillati; Actinomycetota; Actinomycetes; Propionibacteriales; Nocardioidaceae. RNAcentral also lists the same sequence under 1 other name. The record is from RNAcentral.